This 444-nucleotide ribosomal RNA is filed under the name uncultured bacterium. RNAcentral's name for it is "partial 16S ribosomal RNA". It matches the Rfam family "Bacterial small subunit ribosomal RNA", at positions 339 to 795 of the family's 1533-position model. The record is from RNAcentral.
CUACGGGCCGCUCCAGUGGGGAAUAUUGGGCAAUGGAGGAAACUCUGACCCAGCGACGCCGCGUGAGGGAUGAAGGCCUUCGGGUUGUAAACCUCUUUCAGCAGGGAAUAAGCGAAAGUGAAGGUACCUGCGCAAGAAGCACCGGCUAACUAUGUGCCAGCAGCCGCGGUAAUACAUAGGGUGCAAGCGUUGUCCGGAAUUAUUGGGCGUAAAGAGCUCGUAGGUGGUCGAUCACGUCGGAUGUGAAAUUCUGAGGCUUAACCUCGGACCUGCAUUCGAUACGGGUUGACUAGAGUGUGGUAGGGGAGACUGGAAUUCCUGGUGUAGCGGUGGAAUGCGCAGAUAUCAGGAGGAACACCGAUGGCGAAGGCAGGUCUCUGGGCCAUUACUGACACUGAGGAGCGAAAGCGUGGGGAGCGAACAGGAUUAGAUACCCUAGUAGUC